RNAcentral lists this ribosomal RNA (253 nucleotides) under uncultured bacterium. RNAcentral describes it as "partial 16S ribosomal RNA". It matches the Rfam family "Bacterial small subunit ribosomal RNA", at positions 524 to 776 of the family's 1533-position model. The record is from RNAcentral.
UACGUAGGGAGCAAGCGUUGUUCGGAUUUACUGGGCGUAGAGGGCGCGUAGGCGGCGCGGUAAGUCACUUGUGAAAUCUCUGAGCUUAACUCAGAACGGCCAAGUGAUACUGCAGUGCUAGAGUGCAGAAGGGGCAAUCGGAAUUCUUGGUGUAGCGGUGAAAUGCGUAGAUAUCAAGAGGAACACCUGAGGUGAAGACGGGUUGCUAGGCUGACACUGACGCUGAGGCGCGAAAGCCAGGGGAGCAAACGGG